Small nuclear RNA from Artibeus jamaicensis (Jamaican fruit-eating bat), 103 nucleotides. The record is from RefSeq and is a predicted model, not a curated record. NCBI's taxonomy places the organism in Eukaryota, Metazoa, Chordata, Mammalia, Chiroptera, Phyllostomidae.
AUGCUUCACCAGCUUAUGUACUAAAAUUGGAAAGAUGUGGAUAAGAUCACCAUGGUCUCUGGGAAAGAGUGACAAGCAAAUGCAUGCAGCAUCUCAUAUUUUU